UACGUAGGUGGCAAGCGUUGUCCGGAAUUAUUGGGCGUAAAGGGCGCGUAGGCGGUCAGCACAAGUCAGUUGUGAAAUCUCCGGGCUUAACUCGGAAAGGUCAACUGAUACUGUGCGACUAGAGUGCAGAAGGGGCAACUGGAAUUCUCGGUGUAGCGGUGAAAUGCGUAGAGAUCGUAAGGAAGACCAGUGGCGAAGGCGAGUUUCUGGACAGUUACUGACGCUGAGGCACGAAGGCCAGGGGAGCAAACGGG
Molecule: ribosomal RNA, 254 nt
Filed under: uncultured bacterium
Lineage: Bacteria
Description: partial 16S ribosomal RNA
Rfam family: Bacterial small subunit ribosomal RNA
Source: RNAcentral